GAAAGGUAUGCUAAUACGGGAUAAUAUAUUUGAGAGGCAUCUCUUGAAUAUCAAAGGUGAGCCAGUACAGGAUGGACCCGCGUCUGAUUAGCUAGUUGGUAAGGUAACGGCUUACCAAGGCGACGAUCAGUAGCCGACCUGAGAGGGUGAUCGGCCACAUUGGAACUGAGACACGGUCCAAACUCCUACGGGAGGCAGCAGUGGGGAAUAUUGCACAAUGGGCGAAAGCCUGAUGCAGCAACGCCGCGUGAGUGAUGAAGGCCUUCGGGUCGUAAAACUCUGUCCUCAAGGAAGAUAAUGACGGUACUUGAGGAGGAAGCCCCGGCUAACUACGUGCCAGCAGCCGCGGUAAUACGUAGGGGGCUAGCGUUAUCCGGAUUUACUGGGCGUAAAGGGUGCGUAGGCGGUCUUUCAAGUCAGGAGUGAAAGGCUACGGCUCAACCGUAGUAAGCUCUUGAAACUGGGAGACUUGAGUGCAGGAGAGGAGAGUGGAAUUCCUAGUGUAGCGGUGAAAUGCGUAGAUAUUAGGAGGAACACCAGUUGCGAAGGCGGCUCUCUGGACUGUAACUGACGCUGAGGCACGAAAGCGUGGGGAGCAAACAGGAUUAGAUACCCUGGUAGUCC
RNAcentral lists this ribosomal RNA (624 nucleotides) under uncultured bacterium. RNAcentral describes it as "bacterial SSU rRNA". It matches the Rfam family "Bacterial small subunit ribosomal RNA", at positions 153 to 796 of the family's 1533-position model. The record is from RNAcentral.